RNAcentral lists this transfer RNA (68 nucleotides) under Ixodes scapularis (black-legged tick). It matches the Rfam family "tRNA". Rfam says of the family: Transfer RNA (tRNA) molecules are approximately 80 nucleotides in length. Their secondary structure includes four short double-helical elements and three loops (D, anti-codon, and T loops). The record is from Rfam by way of RNAcentral. Lineage: Eukaryota; Metazoa; Arthropoda; Arachnida; Ixodida; Ixodidae.
CUGGUUAGCUCAGUUGGUGGAACACUCCACUGAAAAUGAAGAGGUCCCUGGUACGAUACCAGGACCAG